UCUGUGAGGUUCUGUUUGAACCCCUGUGGCUCUUCCAGAUCGAUUCUAUACUUCUGUGUGGCAAAUAGGUUUCGAAUCUGAUCCACGGGGGUCCUGGAGUGCUCGACUGAGGAUUCUAAGACCACUUCAGGGCUCAGCAGCAGACGGUGCCAUGUGCCUGCCUCAGAACUGAGAAGCGAUUUUUACAUCCGCGCUUUCUGACUGACUAAGAGUUCACAGAGCUUUCCUACCACUGAGAAGGCGAUUCCAUUGGUCUAAGAACCCAUCUCUGCACCUCUGCCUGGUUCCUCUGCAGUGGGAUGAAGUGGAAUGGAUUUGGGUUCAAAAUGACCUAGAUUCAAACCUCAGCUCCAAUGCUUACUGGAUGUGUGACUCUGGUUAAGAUAAUCCCGCUUGAGCGAUGAAAAUGAUUGGUUCAUAGUGCUCCCUCAGUAGAGUCAAGGGCAAGCUCAGGAAUUGAAAAUGGCUGUUUCAUCAUUGGAGAGGAAGAAGGAUGUUAUCAGCGCAUUAGCAUCUCUACAGUCAAGCUGAAGUGUGAUUGACUCUGGGCAGUUUGAUCAAUCAAGGUGGUCAACAGGAAGUUAUUUCCUCAAAUAUCGACGUCCUAUGUUUGAAUUGACUACUCUAUCUACCCUCUCAGAGUUUCAGGACACGUCCCCCCGCCACUUUCCGCUUCUGGCAUAUGGUGGUAACAGCUCCCAGUUAUUGCUAGACCCUGAGUGCUGCCACAUCCUUGGAGGAUAGCCCUACCUGCACAGCUGUACAUGAUCCUUUUAUUAAACAAUAAAUGAUAUCAAUUACCC
RNAcentral lists this long non-coding RNA (803 nucleotides) under Equus asinus (donkey). RNAcentral describes it as "lncRNA (ENSEASG00005032782.1)". Lineage: Eukaryota; Metazoa; Chordata; Mammalia; Perissodactyla; Equidae. The record is from RNAcentral.